UCAUCAGGCAUUAGAUUCUCGUAAGGAA
Molecule: non-coding RNA, 28 nt
Filed under: Homo sapiens (human)
Lineage: Eukaryota; Metazoa; Chordata; Mammalia; Primates; Hominidae
Source: RNAcentral